Molecule: ribosomal RNA, 382 nt
Filed under: uncultured bacterium
Lineage: Bacteria
Description: bacterial SSU rRNA
Rfam family: Bacterial small subunit ribosomal RNA
Source: RNAcentral
GACGAACGCUGGCGGCGUGCUUAACACAUGCAAGUCGAGCGGUAAGGCCCUUUCGGGGGUACACGAGCGGCGAACGGGUGAGUAACACGUGGGUGACCUGCCCUCAGCUCUGGGAUAAGCCUGGGAAACCGGGUCUAAUACCGGAUAUGACUCCAUGACGCAUGUUGUGGGGUGGAAAGCCUUGUGCGGCUGAGGAUGGGCCCGCGGCCUAUCAGCUUGUUGGUGGGGUGAGGCCUACCAAGGCGACGACGGGUAGCCGGCCUGAGAGGGCGACCGGCCACACUGGGACUGAGACACGGCCCAGACUCCUACGGGAGGCAGCAGUGGGGAAUCUUGCGCAAUGGGCGAAAGCCUGACGCAGCGACGCCGCGUGAGGGAUGAC